GUACCAAUGUGAGAUUUCUAAAGAUAGCUACAGCACGUGACAAAAGGUUUAAGAAUCUGAAGUGCCUUCCAAAAUCUGAGAGGGAGGAGGUGUGGAGCAUGCUUUCAGAAGAGUUAAGACAGCAACUCUCCGAUGCAGAAAUUUCAGAACCCGAACCACCAAAAAAGAAAAUCAAUCUUCUACUGGUGGCAUCUGACUCAGAUAAUGAAAAUGAAUAUGUGUCAGUCUACA
Molecule: long non-coding RNA, 231 nt
Organism: Chelonia mydas (Green sea turtle)
Lineage: Eukaryota; Metazoa; Chordata; Testudines; Cheloniidae
Exons: 3
Source: RefSeq, a predicted model, not a curated record